GACGAACGCUGGCGGCGUGCUUAACACAUGCAAGUCGAGCGGUAAGGCCCUUUCGGGGGUACACGAGCGGCGAACGGGUGAGUAACACGUGGGUGACCUGCCUCUAGCUCUGGGAUAAGCCCGGGAAACUGGGUCUAAUACUGGAUAUGACUCCAUGACGCAUGUUGUGGGGUGGAAAGCCUUGUGCGGCUAGAGAUGGGCCCGCGGCCUAUCAGCUUGUUGGUGGGGGA
Molecule: ribosomal RNA, 230 nt
Filed under: uncultured bacterium
Lineage: Bacteria
Description: partial 16S ribosomal RNA
Rfam family: Bacterial small subunit ribosomal RNA
Source: RNAcentral